AGUGUAGGGUUCCUAGCGAGCCCAACCUCCCACCCGUGUUUACUGUACCUUAGUUGCUUCGGCGGGCCCGCCAUUCAUGGCCGCCGGGGGCUCUCAGCCCCGGGCCCGCGCCCGCCGGAGACACCACGAACUCUGUCUGAUCUAGUGAAGUCUGAGUUGAUUGUAUCGCAAUCAGUUAAAACUUUCAACAAUGGAUCUCUUGGUUCCGGCAUCGAUGAAGAACGCAGCGAAAUGCGAUAACUAGUGUGAAUUGCAGAAUUCCGUGAAUCAUCGAGUCUUUGAACGCACAUUGCGCCCCCUGGUAUUCCGGGGGGCAUGCCUGUCCGAGCGUCAUUGCUGCCCAUCAAGCACGGCUUGUGUGUUGGGUCGUCGUCCCCUCUCCGGGGGGGACGGGCCCCAAAGGCAGCGGCGGCACCGCGUCCGAUCCUCGAGCGUAUGGGGCUUUGUCACCCGCUCUGUAGGCCCGGCCGGCGCUUGCCGAACGCAAAUCAAUCUUUUUCCAGGUUGACCUCGGAUCAGGUAGGGAUACCCGCUGAACUUAAGCAUAUCAAU
This 552-nucleotide ribosomal RNA is filed under the name Aspergillus oryzae. RNAcentral describes it as "eukaryotic LSU rRNA". The stretch from base 180 to 333 matches the Rfam family "5.8S ribosomal RNA". Lineage: Eukaryota; Fungi; Ascomycota; Eurotiomycetes; Eurotiales; Aspergillaceae. The record is from RNAcentral.